Molecule: ribosomal RNA, 101 nt
Filed under: Neogale vison (American mink)
Lineage: Eukaryota; Metazoa; Chordata; Mammalia; Carnivora; Mustelidae
Source: RNAcentral
UAUGGCCAUACCACCCUGAAUGCGUGUGAUCUCGGAAGCUAAGCAGGGUAGGGCCUGGUUAGUACUUGGAUAGAAGAAUAAGAAAUAUGCAAAUGUCUUAA